RNAcentral lists this ribosomal RNA (499 nucleotides) under uncultured bacterium. RNAcentral describes it as "bacterial SSU rRNA". It matches the Rfam family "Bacterial small subunit ribosomal RNA", at positions 29 to 517 of the family's 1533-position model. The record is from RNAcentral.
AACGAACGCUGGCGGCGUGGAUAAGACAUGCAAGUCGAGCGGGAUCAUUGGAGUAGCAAUACAACAGUGGUCUAGUGGCGAACGGGUGCGUAACACGUGGAUACAUUCCGGGAAGCGGGGGAUAGCCCAGGGAAACUUGGAUUAAUACCGCAUGUGGUCGAAAGACUAAAGGCAGGGACCGCAAGGCCUGCCACUUCCCGAUUGGUCCGCGGCCUAUCAGCUAGUUGGCGGGUAAAAGCCCACCAAGGCUACGACGGGUAGCUGGUCUUAGAGGACGACCAGCCACACUGGAACUGAGACACGGUCCAGACACCUACGGGUGGCAGCAGUCGAGAAUCUUUCACAAUGGGGGCAACCCUGAUGGAGCGACGCCGCGUGGAGGAUAAGGUCUUCGGAUUGUAAACUCCUGUCAUGUGUGAACAAGGCUGUCGUGUUAAUAGCAUGGCAGAUUGAUGGUAACACAAGAGGAAGAGACGGCUAAACUCUGUGCCAGCAGCCG